Molecule: ribosomal RNA, 468 nt
Filed under: uncultured bacterium
Lineage: Bacteria
Description: partial 16S ribosomal RNA
Rfam family: Bacterial small subunit ribosomal RNA
Source: RNAcentral
GACGAACGCUGGCGGCGUGCUUAACACAUGCAAGUCGAACGGAAAGGCCCUGCUUUUGUGGGGUGCUCGAGUGGCGAACGGGUGAGUAACACGUGAGUAACCUGCCCUUGACUUUGGGAUAACUUCAGGAAACUGGGGCUAAUACCGGAUAGGAGCUCCUGCUGCAUGGUGGGGGUUGGAAAGUUUCGGCGGUUGGGGAUGGACUCGCGGCUUAUCAGCUUGUUGGUGGGGUAGUGGCUUACCAAGGCUUUGACGGGUAGCCGGCCUGAGAGGGUGACCGGCGACAUUGGGACUGAGAUACGGACCAGACUCCUACGGGAGGCAGCAGUGGGGAAUAUUGCACAAUGGGCGGAAGCCUGAUGCAGCAACGCCGCGUGCGGGAUGACGGCCUUCGGGUUGUAAACCUCUUUCGCCUGUGACGAAGAGUGAGUGACGGUAAUGGGUAAAGAAGCACCGGCUAACUACGUG